Molecule: non-coding RNA, 385 nt
Organism: Python bivittatus (Burmese python)
Lineage: Eukaryota; Metazoa; Chordata; Lepidosauria; Squamata; Pythonidae
Source: RefSeq, a predicted model, not a curated record
GGUUUCGAAAGAGAGGAUGACAGCUGAGGGCCUAUAAAUCACACCAAUCUUGCAAGGAGCUCAAAGCAAUGGACAUGUUCUUCACCUUCCUGUGUAUCCUCCCAAUAGUUAUGUAAGGUAGGAAGAACCUGGGAUGGAAAUUAUAUAUGGAGCUGAGAUGGGAGAGACCACGCAGCCAUGAUUUAGCACUGUAUCUCCCUGCUACUUCAUGCAAGGCAGCCAGUGAGAGUCAUCAAUGGGCCACACUACUGAAGUCCAAAGACUCAUACACACACAUUCUUUGGCUUAACAGAGAAAGACUUGAGAGUCAAGCAGAGAUGUUCUCCCACUUGAACCUGACUGUUUGCAAGAAUUAUGUUGUUAUUCCUUGAUCUUCAUACUAACA